Molecule: ribosomal RNA, 468 nt
Filed under: uncultured bacterium
Lineage: Bacteria
Description: partial 16S ribosomal RNA
Rfam family: Bacterial small subunit ribosomal RNA
Source: RNAcentral
GACGAACGCUGGCGGCGUGCUUAACACAUGCAAGUCGAACGGAAACGCCCUGCUUUUGUGGGGUGCUCGGGUGGCGAUCGGGUGAGUGACACGUAAGUAACCUACUCUUGUCUUUGGGAUAACUUCAGGAAAGUGGGCCUAAUACAGGACAGGAUCUCCCCUUGGAUUGAGGGGGGUGGAACUUUGCGGCGGUCGGGGAUGGACUCGCGGCUGACGGGCUAGUUGGUUGGGGGGUGGCUUACCAAGGAUUGGGCGGGUCCGCGGCCUGAGAGGGGGGCCGGCCACAUUGGGACUGAGGUACGGCCCAGACUCCUACGGUGGGCAGCAGUGGGGAACCUUGCCCAAUGGGCCGGAGCCUGAUGCAGCGACGCCGCGUUCGGGAUGACGGCCUUCGGGUUGUAAACCGCUUUCGCCUGUGACGAAGCGUGAGUGACGGUAAUGGGUAAAGAAGCACCGGCUAACUACGUG